AGAGUUUGAUCCUGGCUCAGAUUGAACGCUGGCGGAAUGCCUAACACAUGCAAGUCGAGCGGGGUAGCAAUAUCCAGCGGCGGACGGGUGAGGAAUACAUAGGAAUCUGCCUUUAGGUGGGGGAUAGCUUGGGGAAACUCAGGGUAAUACCGCAUGAUCUCGCAAGAGCAAAGUGGGGGAUCGCAAGACCUCACGCCUUUAGAGGAGCCUAUGUCUGAUUAGCUUGUUGGUGAGGUAAUGGCUCACCAAGGCGACGAUCAGUAACUGGUCUGAGAGGACGAUCAGUCACACCGGAACUGAGACACGGUCCGGACUCCUACGGGAGGCAGCAGUGGGGAAUAUUGGACAAUGGGCGAAAGCCUGAUCCAGCCAUGCCGCGUGUGUGAAGAAGGUCUUCGGAUUGUAAAGCACUUUAAGUUGGGAGGAAGGGCAGUUACCUAAUACGUAAUUGUUUUGACGUUACCGACAGAAUAAGCACCGGCUAACUCUGUGCCAGCAGCCGCGGUAAUACAGAGGGUGCAAGCGUUAAUCGGAAUUACUGGGCGUAAAGCGCGCGUAGGUGGUUCGUUAAGUUGGAUGUGAAAUCCCCGGGCUCAACCUGGGAACUGCAUUCAAAACUGACGAGCUAGAGUAUGGUAGAGGGUGGUGGAAUUUCCUGUGUAGCGGUGAAAUGCGUAGAUAUAGGAAGGAACACCAGUGGCGAAGGCGACCACCUGGACUGAUACUGACACUGAGGUGCGAAAGCGUGGGGAGCAAACAGGAUUAGAUACCCUGGUAGUCC
RNAcentral lists this ribosomal RNA (781 nucleotides) under uncultured bacterium. RNAcentral's name for it is "bacterial SSU rRNA". It matches the Rfam family "Bacterial small subunit ribosomal RNA", at positions 8 to 796 of the family's 1533-position model. The record is from RNAcentral.